UUAUAGUAUAAUUAAUCCUAAAAACACCUUAUCUCGUCACACGUAAUCAUAUACUGAAUUCUAUCUAGACUAGUGUUUAAUAAUCUAGRUAUCUUCCGUAUUAUGAUGUCCUCUAUCAGUGUGUCCUGUUAUGAUAAUUAAAUUUUAAAAUUUCGUUAUAGAUGUUGUUUAGAAUAUUCGUGUUUGUUCUGUAGUUAACUGUAUUAUUAUUUGUUAUAUGGUACAUUUCGCUUAUGUUUCUUUUGUACCAAUUGUCUUCUCUAUCUAAAAUGUCUGUCUCAUCAAAUUUGAACUUGUGUCCUGUUAUAAAAUGGUGCUCGGCUAACGCAGUAAUAUUAUUCUUUUGAGCAUUUGUUUGACAAACGGAAAGACCCAAGGAAGUGCCAGUAGGCACUUUAAUAAAAGAUCUAGAAGAAGGUAUAAAAAAUAUUUACAUCGAAAAUGUUGACACUAAAAUAAUAAAGGAUGAGCAAAAUAAUGUAAGAUCAAAAGCGAAUCCGAACUUAAUAAUAACAAGAUCGGAUAAAGGAAAUAACACAGUUAUCAUGGAAAAGGAAGAAUACAUCAAAGAAAUGAAAAAACUGUUGGAAGAUAGAAACACAUACAGUAUUUUAAGCAAGGAUCCUACCAACAGAUUUGARAAAUUGGCGAAUAAUUUAACAAUAAAAUUACAAAAUGAAUCCAUCAUCUAAUGUAUGACUCUGAAAAUAAAAUAAUAURUAUUGACGCGUGAACUAAGUGAUCAAGUUGCUGAGGAAGUCCCCAGUAAGGGACGAAACGUUCAACAAGGUCAUAAUAAAUUGUUCAUCAAAUUUA
Molecule: long non-coding RNA, 816 nt
Organism: Polistes canadensis
Lineage: Eukaryota; Metazoa; Arthropoda; Insecta; Hymenoptera; Vespidae
Exons: 4
Source: RefSeq, a predicted model, not a curated record